UCGCCAAACCGUCAGCAAGUCGA
RNAcentral lists this non-coding RNA (23 nucleotides) under Arabidopsis thaliana (thale cress). Lineage: Eukaryota; Viridiplantae; Streptophyta; Magnoliopsida; Brassicales; Brassicaceae. The record is from RNAcentral.